CCUACGGGGGGCUGCAGUGAGGAAUAUUGGUCAAUGGACGAGAGUCUGAACCAGCCAAGUAGCGUGAAGGAUGACUGCCCUAUGGGUUGUAAACUUCUUUUAUAUGGGAAUAAAAUGUUCCACGUGUGGGAUUUUGUAUGUACCAUAUGAAUAAGGAUCGGCUAACUCCGUGCCAGCAGCCGCGGUAAUACGGAGGAUCCGAGCGUUAUCCGGAUUUAUUGGGUUUAAAGGGAGCGUAGGUGGAUAGUUAAGUCAGUUGUGAAAGUUUGCGGCUCAACCGUAACAUUGCAGUUGAAACUGGCAGUCUUGAGUACAGUAGAGGUAGGCGGAAUUCGUGGUGUAGCGGUGAAAUGCUUAGAUAUCACGAAGAACUCCGAUUGCGAAGGCAGUUCACUGGACUGAAACUGACACUGAGGCUCGAAAGUGUGGGUAUCAAACAGGAUUAGAUACCCGUGUAGUC
This 460-nucleotide ribosomal RNA is filed under the name uncultured bacterium. RNAcentral's name for it is "partial 16S ribosomal RNA". It matches the Rfam family "Bacterial small subunit ribosomal RNA", at positions 338 to 795 of the family's 1533-position model. The record is from RNAcentral.